CGCGUAGGCGGUGCUUCAAGUCAGAUGUGAAAGCCCUGGGCUCAACCUAGGAACAGCAUUUGAGACUGGAGCGCUCGAGGACCGGAGAGGUGGGUGGAAUUCCCAGUGUAGAGGUGAAAUUCGUAGAUAUUGGGAAGAACACCGGUGGCGAAGGCGGCCCACUGGACGGUUACUGACGCUGAGGCGCGAAAGCGUGGGGAGCAAACA
Molecule: ribosomal RNA, 207 nt
Filed under: uncultured bacterium
Lineage: Bacteria
Description: partial 16S ribosomal RNA
Rfam family: Bacterial small subunit ribosomal RNA
Source: RNAcentral